Molecule: long non-coding RNA, 2137 nt
Organism: Cyprinus carpio carpio
Lineage: Eukaryota; Metazoa; Chordata; Actinopteri; Cypriniformes; Cyprinidae
Source: Ensembl
AUUUGUUUAGGCCAGUGAAAGCAAUAAUUAUCCUCACGCUAGACUUCACGCUGCUUUUCAAAAGCAGAAUUCUCUCAUAUUUCUGCUUGCUUCAAUGGAACACGUUUCUGCUCAACUUCCAAGUGUCAGAAAUUGCCCUGAGAGAGAAAGAGAGAAGGAAGACAAGAGAGGAGAAAACAUUAUGAAAUGUCAGCAGCUCAAAUGGAUUACUGUUCAAUAUCAGUCAAGACACUCUGAAAAGGAAAGUGAGGGAGAAUAUUCGUUUGUGGGUGAAUGUGCGUGUGUUUGCGUGAUGCCGAUGCUUUUAAAUUGUUCUUUUUGUUUUUCCAUCAGCGGUGAGGUGCUCUCUUGGCUUAUCUCCUCAGCAGUGGACGUGUGGCGGGACGAUGUUCUAGGAAAAUGAACUGUCGCCGUAUCCCUCAAGCGCGUCUACCUCGCACACUCCGAGGCGCAUACACAAAUAUAUAAGCCACUCAGGCUUCUCUGCUGUUUGUGCACACCUUGUUGCCUCCGGAGGGGCAAUUACCGAUGCUCACAGCCUGUCUGAGGUGUCAGUGGAUGGGCUCCCAUCCCAAUCCUCUCCCUCUGUCCAUCUCUCCUCUCCAUUAUCAGCAGGGUAAAUAAUGCCCCUGCCUCUGAUGCUGAUGGAGAUGUGACUGGGACAACUGAUCCAAUUGCCCUCCGCUCAAUUUAUCUUUAGCAGCUAAAGCGGCGUUUUAGCGUUCAAAACAAUAAGAGCUAGAAACCCAGAAAUUCCCAAAUGAACUGGAAACCCUCUGCCAGGAGACAGGUUGAGGGUAGAGGCUUUUGGAAGCCCUUUCAGGAGGUUCCACUCAUUAGUGGUCAGCUGCACCCUGAACAUUCAGACUCUCCUGUCCCCCCUCUCCUCUCCAGGCCCUGAUGAAACCCUUUUCACCCACUCAGGGAAAGAAAAUGGCUUCAGGAGGAGGAGAAAAUCUUAGAGGUGCAUUGCACAAAGACUCCUGGAUGUCAACAGGCACAUAAUGAUACCUGAUAGCCCCUGGAAAACACUCCUCUCUUCUUUCUUUUAAUUUGCCUCUUUUUCUUUUCCUAUAGAGCCCUUCUUGGCCCUACACGCCUUGGACGCGAUGCACUUGAAAGCAUAAUUAGAGGUAAAACAGUGACUGGAUCUCCCAUCAUCCUUCUGCGUGGCCAUCGCAAAGUCCUUUGUUUUUAAACCUCUCUCCUCAAAAAAUCUCCUUUUCUCCCUGACUUUUUGAAAAGCUGCUCUAAAGGAGGUGGGGGGAGUGAGAGGGUGAAAAGUGGGAGCAAGAGAGAAAGAGAAAACGCAAGAGAGUUCCCUCUGCGAGUCGCCAAGGUGCUCUCUAGUCCAUUGUGCAGUGUGCUGUCAGGUUAAAUUAGGGAGUACAGGCUCUGUGAGUGUAAAAAAAUCAAUACUUGAUGGAAGAUUGCUCCCCGGAAAAUCUGUUUUGAUUCCAGGAUUAAUUCUUGACCAAAGGCUCCGCUGAAAUGACAUGCCAUUAGGGCCGAAAAUGAACACAUUCGGCAGUGGAAAUUGGAUGGAAAUGUGUCAGGUGAUUGCCCCGGCUGCUUGUUUUGCUCUCCUGGAGAGUGAGAGAGGAAGGGAGAGCGCGUGAGGGGGAAAGCGCAGCACUGGAGGAAGGUGUGGCGGCAAAAAGCCUCGGAUCCGCAGGCCCCUCGGAAUACAUUUUCAGGCCUCGCCGCGGCCCUCCGGAGUAUUGUCUGGGCCAUUGUUGUUCGGCUCCUGCAAAUGCACUCUGUGCAAGGUGAAAUGCAUUUGUCCACUGGCUGCGUCUCUCCUGUGUGUUCCCACAAAGCACAAGAUGAAGAAUAGCUCAUCUUAAAAUAAAGCAGGGACCUCUUUUCUUUGUCUCUGUGGUGCGGACGAAAGAAAGGGAAAAUGCAAUAUUGAUGAGAGUAAUGUGUUUGUCAUCGCUUGUAGCGUAUCUCCUGCACCUGAGUACAAGAAACGAAAACACAAGACGCUGCUCGCUAAGAUAACGUGCUUUAAAAGCAUUAUAAAGUGCUGGAACUAGAGUUAAAAUGGAAGAAAUCAAUAGAAAAUUAGUUGAUUGAGUAUGUUUUUAUUUUUUAUUUUUUUGUCCUGAAAGUCUACUCCAAGCUUAAAGUAAAC